RNAcentral lists this ribosomal RNA (855 nucleotides) under Triticum aestivum (bread wheat). RNAcentral describes it as "partial small subunit ribosomal RNA". Lineage: Eukaryota; Viridiplantae; Streptophyta; Magnoliopsida; Poales; Poaceae. The record is from RNAcentral.
AUGUGGCUCGGCUUAGAAAGAUACUACUCCAUCCGAUUCAAAUUAAUCGAUGCUGCUUUAGUACAACUUUACAGUAAAAAAACGACCUUCGCAUCCGAUCCAGCCCCCGUCGAUGGCGCUCUAGGCUCGCCCGCCGCCACCCUGUCGCCGGCCCCGUCGCUCCCCCGCCCUAUCGCCGGCCGCGUCCCUCCCCCGCCCCGUCGCCGUCGCUCCGCCGCCCCGCCGGCCGCCGCCGGCGCCAAGCCCCCGAGAGACGCCACGACCUCCACCGAGCAGGAGCAGCAGCUCGCCUCCUCGUGGCGCGGCGCCUACGAGGAGCCGUCGCCGUCACCAUCGGUGUCCUCGACGGAGGAGCAAGAUCCCGCGGCGCUGCGCGUGGGGAUCAUCGGGUUCGGCAACUUCGGGCAGUUCAUCGCCAGGGGCAUCCAGCGGCAGGGCCACGCCGUGCUGGCCACCUCCAGAUCCGACUACUCCGACUACUGCUCCGCCCACGGGAUUCGCUUCUUCAGAAGCUUGGAGGCGCUGUGCGAGGAGCAGCCGGACGUGCUGCUGGUUUGCAGCUCCAUCCUCUCCACGGAGUCCGUCAUCCGUGCCAUCCCCCUCGCCAAGCUCCGCCCCGACACCAUCGUCGCCGACGUGCUCUCUGUCAAGCAGUUCCCCUGCAACCUCCUCCUCGAGACUCCUUUCAGCAAAACCAAAUUGAAUAGUUGGCUUAGCAUAGUAAUCAUAGAAGCAAUGCCCUGCGGUCAGAAGGUUGAACCGGAACCAAGACGCAGUGCAUGUCAGAGCUCCAACCCUCCUAGUAUCAUAACCAUCUAUGCUUCUUGUACUGAUGCAGGAAAUUGGAUAGCGUAA